CAGAAACAUAGACUCCAUCUUUUGUCCAUGUGGAGAGGGGGAGAGAGAGAAAUGACAGAACGGCCGAGGCAGGAGGUGCGGUGUGUGGUACAAGGGCAGUGGCAGAGCUGGAGCAGAUCCAUGCUCAGUGCCACAGCGACUGCAUCACAGCCCUGUGCUGAGCGCUCGGACAUGCAGUCAGAACCAGCUAACAUCAUCUCCUGCUCUUCACUCUUCAGGGUACCCAGCCAGCCAUGGCAGAAUGCACAUGUCCAAUGCUGUGUGUGUGUAUUACCAGCCUGCCUGGCUGCUCAUGUUUCUCACCUGUCCCCAAGCCCAGGGAAAUCCAGCGCUCCGAAGCAUUCCUGAGGUGGAGUAGGAGGCUGCAAAAACAAGCACUGCCAAGGAAUCAUCUGACUGUGUAUAAAGGUCAGGCAAAGGCACUUCCUGUAUUUUUUCAGACACACGGUGGUCCUCAGAGAUAGCUUGAUCUUUCUGCAGAUUUGAUAAACCCUUGGAAAUACAUAACUGCACAAGUACACCAUUUCCUUCCUCCACACACAACCUUUUGUUGCUAAGUUUCUGGUACAAUGGCUUUCACCAGCUUGAUUAGCAGCAGCUCGUAAAAAGAUCCGAGUUAAGUGGUGUGUUCAGCCACCACAGGGCUGUUCCUUUGUGUAUUCAGCCAUAGUUGCUCAAUGUAGUCAUAAGAGUGAAUGUUUUGUUGCUUAUCUCUAUUGUUUUUCACUUCAGCUCAAUCUGCAUUCAGUAGAAGUAUCAACUGUUUUCUUCUAAUAUAACGUACCUGCCCAGCUAAAAGCAAUGGGAAAAAUGAAGACUGAGAUUGCACCAAAAAUACCUAAAAGCAGAAUCUGAAGGUUAUCAGAGUACAGCAGUGUCUUUGACAGCAACAUUCGGCCAGCAGCAUCCUUAGAAAAAGGAGAAAGGCUUUUGAAAACAACCAUUGGAGCAGCAUCUUUCUGGCUGCCCAACUUGCAGCACCUUAAAGGAGCUCAGCUUGAGAUGGAAGGUGAUCUGCAGUGCCCACAGCUCAGGUCCUUUUGGUCUCUUUUCAUUUCCCUCUUCAGUGUUGUGGCUGAUACCAAUCCUUGCUGGUAUUUGCUCAUAUUUAGCAUUAGGCAGAGUUUGCUGCCCACUGCAGGCUGCAUUCUCUAAUAAAAUAAAAAUAAAAAUAAAAAUAAAAAUAAAAAUAAAAAUAAAAAUAAAAAUAAAAAGGAGAUCUUACAAAGAGAUCUUGGAGCACAAAGAUCUCACAUCAGUGUGCCAGACUGACAGCCUCAGAGUAGUUUCCAUUCCUCAGGUGAGGAACAAAUGAUAAGAAAUGGAGUGGAGUGGUCCAUGUGCAUCCCCAGACAGCAGGCUGAGUGCCGUGCUGGAAGCUUGAGGGAUGAUAGCAGGGAAUCUCCCCUCCCAGCACAAACUGGGAGAAAAUAAACAAGGAAUGUGAUGGCAUUGAAACCACUUUCUGCUUUUCCCCGGAGGACGUGGCUGAUGGAAUUUAAGUAUUUCGGGCUUCAAUCAGAAAGUUUACACAACAGAUGGUUGGAAUCACACGACUGUGAGCCAUAAGGCAAUCAGGACAGCAGAAACUCUGCAUGGAACUUCAAAAUCCAGACCCAGGCAGGAAGAACUGCUCCCAGGGAAAUCAGAGGUCGCUUGGCUAUUAUUUUCUACUCACCUAAUGUUCACCCAGUGUUUCUGGUUUGUACUCAAAUGCUCAGAAGGAACCCAGAAAGGGAGAACAAACAGGAAUUCUUACUGCUUAAUUACAGACAUCAGAUUUAGAGCCUCCUUUCAAUGAUAUAAACCCUUUUCAUCCCCACUCCAUUGCUCCUUAGAGGAUGGUGCUCCCAGCUUAAGCACUUGGUAGAUGCUUUAAGUUCGGAGCUGCCAAAUUCUUCCCAUGUCAAGCAGCCAAGAUUACUGCUAUCUCUAUUCCCAUAUGCCAGCCGUGAGUGAGAAGAUGGGCCCAGAGCAGCCAUCCUUUGGAUUCGCAGGGCAGGCUGCCCUCAGAAGCCCCUGGCAUUACCUGCUCUCUGGAGAGCUGCUGGCUGAUUCCUUAUACCUGAGAAUUCCAUUUCAGCCCUGAGGCUGAAUUUCCAAACAACCGCGGAUUUCUAACGUGCAUCUGAUAUUAUGGCAAUGGAGAGGGAUUUCCCCAGUCUCAGACCUUCCCACUGGUAAAAAGGAGGUGUUUAUAUUACAUAUAUAUUAUUCAUAUAUAUAAAAUAGCACAUAAUAAUACUUAAAUAUAUUGUCGUUACUAAAUGAGGUAUUUGUCAUAGUUUUGCCUAGCAAACAUCUCUAACUAUUCCAGUCCUAAUGAGAUGAUUACUGCAUGAGGACUUGGCUACAACUUCUGUUGGUGCAAAUAUCUGAUGUGAAGCUGGGGUGAUAAUGUUUCAUCUGCAUCCUUACUGCUCGCACGGACAGUAAGUGACCACGGCCAACCCUUUGUGUUAAAAGCCCGGUGAAGCUCAAGAGCCUUCGGUCUGGAAACUGAGUUAAAGGAGCAGACUUUGAAAAGCCUCCUUGCUAUGCUGAUGUAGCAUUCCUAAUGAGCUCUGUGGAAUUAGUGUGUUGGACCUCGGAACAAAAUAGGUUCUCCCACAUCAAACUGAGUGUUGCUGCAUUUGGUGCUAAUUAGAGCUGUAGUCCAGAGGCACAUCUGAGGCUGCGGUUUAUAAAUUCACAUCAAAGCCCCUAUUUGUAUAAUUUUGCACAAUACCUGGCAUAACUUCAUGUUACAGUUCUCAUCUGUAAAAGCAGAACAAGUUGUAAAUACAGCUCAGAGUUUUCAACCAUAUUAGAAACAAGGCAGAGGUCAUCCAAAGGACCGACUUCACCAGGUGUUAUUACACUCACUUGUGGCAGCAGCAAGCCUGCCAGUAUCUGGAUGGGGGCUGCAAAGAAGCAGAGAGACUCCUCGGCAGGGUCCGCUGUGGCAGAACACGGGAAAAUGCUUUCAGACUAAAAGAGGGGAGAUUUAGACUGGAUAGAAGGAAGGAGAUUUUCUCCUAUGAAGUUACAGCUGCUGAAGGAGGAGGCGCAGAGGUUUCUGCUACUUUGCUGCGCAGCUACUUCAGCACAAGAGGUUCCUUCCCCCUUUCCAGGAGCUGCUGCGCGCUGUUUGCUUCGGCCUUUCAUUCGCUCUCUGCCCGAAGCAGCCCGAAGCCGCUGCACCUUCCAGCUCCGCAGCGGGCGCCGCACGCGGUCACGGGCAGCGCCUGUCCGGCUGCACGAGCUCCGUCCUCCCGCGGGUGCGCAACACAGCGCUGCUCCUGCGCGGAUCCUUUGUCGCUCGCGGCGCUGAGCUGCGCUGGUGCGGAGCUGCAGCGGGCGGAGCAGCGCUCGAGUCUCGCGCUCCGGGACCGCGCGCAACCGCGCAGCAGCGCUGCACGAGGCGGAGGGACCGCGCCGGAGCGGCUCGAGGCCGCCGCUGAGGGGCGGAACCGUUAACGGUCGCGGCCGUUAACGGUCGCCGGCGGAGCGGCCACCCACCGCCCGCUGCUGUCCGGUGAGCGCCCACGGCCCGCCCAGCGCCCUCAGGUGUCCCGUCCCGCAACUGCUGCGUGAGCAGUGCAAGCUCUGAGUGUCAGUGCUGGAACGGAGCAGAAUGCCUCCAUGUCGCUGCCUGCACACCCUGAGCUGCACAGCCGUACCUUUGGCACAGAUGAGCUCCAGCAGAGCUGCUCAUAACCCCCUGGAAAGGUGCGAAGGGGAGAAAUGGAGGAGGUUCUCUGAUCCAGCUGGCUUUUCCUGCUGGGGUUCUCAUAGAUGUCACCACGAUUCUGGUAGACCUGAUUCAGCCUUCAUUAGAAAUCUUUGGAUGAAUCCAGACAUACAAAUCAACAGAUAAUUAUCACAGAGAUGAUGUGAGGAAGCCAAUCAGCACAGUCUGGGCUGCAACCUUGGAAACAAAUCCCCAAGUUUGCUGUUCCUCUUCUUCCUCUUUAAAUCUUCCCUGCUGUCUUCAGACUGCUUUACAAGCCCUGUUUAAGCUACCCCAGGUAGAUUGAAGUCUGGAGAAUUACACCUUUCUUGAGCCAGGGUGGCAAAGCAGUCCUACCCCCAACAAAUCUUUCUUGCUCCCACUUAAAGCUGGAAUGUGUUGAUUCUCUUCAGCAAGAGAGGCAUUGCCUCCUGUACCAACACAAUGUGAGUGUGCUACAGAAGAGGUUAUAGAAAGC
RNAcentral lists this long non-coding RNA (4190 nucleotides) under Gallus gallus (chicken). Lineage: Eukaryota; Metazoa; Chordata; Aves; Galliformes; Phasianidae. The record is from RNAcentral.